CCUACGGGGGGCAGCAGUGAGGAAUAUUGGUCAAUGGACGAGAGUCUGAACCAGCCAAGUAGCGUGAAGGAUGAAGGUUCUAUGGAUCGUAAACCUCUUUUAUAAGGGAAUAAAGUGUGGGACGUGUCCUAUUUUGUAUGUACCUUAUGAAUAAGGAUCGGCUAACUCCGUGCCAGCAGCCGCGGUAAUACGGAGGAUCCGAGCGUUAUCCGGAUUUAUUGGGUUUAAAGGGUGCGUAGGCGGCCUUUUAAGUCAGCGGUGAAAGUCUGUGGCUCAACCAUAGAAUUGCCGUUGAAACUGGGGGGCUUGAGUAUGUUUGAGGCAGGCGGAAUGCGUGGUGUAGCGGUGAAAUGCUUAGAUAUCACGAAGAACCCCGAUUGCGAAGGCAGCUUACUAAACUGUGACUGACAUUGAUGCUCGAAAGUGUGGGUAUCAAACAGGAUUAGAUACCCCAGUAGUC
RNAcentral lists this ribosomal RNA (460 nucleotides) under uncultured bacterium. Its description in RNAcentral is "partial 16S ribosomal RNA". It matches the Rfam family "Bacterial small subunit ribosomal RNA", at positions 338 to 795 of the family's 1533-position model. The record is from RNAcentral.